UUUUAUUUAUUUAUUUAUUUAUUGUUAAUUUGAAUUAAAUUAAACUGCCAAAUGCAAUAUAAUUUAAGAUAUUUGUAAGCUCUAUUUGAUAGUAUUAGAGGUUUAUGUAACAUAUUUGUUAACUAAACUACCAAAUGAGGGAUAUUAUUAAUUAUUGCAUUAGGUUAUCUAAUUUAAACUGAUUAUUUUCUCAUGGUCUUGUAGGUUUAGGACAUUUUUAGAUUAUUAUGUCUUACUCUUUAUUUAAUAUUUAAAGGUGUUGCAUAAUUAAUCAAGAUGAGAGAGACAAGUCUUACUCUGUCCAAGAAGAAUUAAUUAGGAUCUAUCUUAUCGUUAAAUGGAUGUUAGGCUUUAAGCAAGAGGGGUGUUAGUAUUGAUUUUAAAGUACUCGUGAGUGAGUCGACGUUUUAGCAUUACCCCAUGCUCAAAGUAGAAUUCUAUGGAAUUCUAAAAUGUUUCUUUUUUAAGAGUUUUUUCUUUCUGGAAAAUCUUAGAUUUUCUUUUUAUAGGUAAAAAGAAAAUCUAAAAUUUAGAGGGUCAUCAGAAUGCACACGAAGCAUAUAAAAAACAUUUUUCGGUUAAGUCAAGGGGAAACAACAAAUACAAUUUGCCCUCGGCCUAAGCCUAAAGCAUAAAAGACCAAGAGAAAACAAAAACCUCGAGAUGACCUUCUUGUAUGCUUGUCGACCAAACUGGUUGCUGUGACCCAACCAUGACAAAAAGAUGAAACAAAAAAAAUGCAUCUUCUACCCUUGACUCUUUCUGAGGCCACAGUUUUUUGAGUUGCGCCAAGAUCCUUGCACUGAAGCCCACUGUCGGCAAGCCCAACGAGUCGGUGAAAGUUUUCGGGUUGCUUGAGGACGGAUUCGCCAUAGACACCCAUGCUCUAGAAACCCAGCCUGGACAUGACCCAUUUGCAUUCACUUGUUCUGAGAAACCGAAAAAUCCAUUUUAGGGGACCGUAAUCAUUUCCUAGAGAAUUAACAGAAAAAACCACCUCACAUCCCUUCGAAUCAAGACCAACCCCAUAAAAUGCAAAAGUUGCUCAUGUCUCCAAGGGAGAAAGAGAGAAAGAAAAAGUACCAGAAUGUCCUACCGCUACUUCCAUAAGGGCAAUUUCUCCAACUGCAGCAAGUGAAGUAGCACUCUCACGUUCUCAACAGCGCAUCUCUCCCGUGGCUUCACCGCUAUCCUCUAGACCAGAAAACGCAUAACUCGAAACGUCAGUAGAAAUAAAUGGUUGUACUUCCCACCACAAUUGAUGGAGAAGCAAGAGAAGUCAUCCACCGCCGUCAAUAUCCCAAGCAUCCUUCUCUCAUCUAAUCUUGCUAAAGCCACGCAAGUAUCCCUAAUCUUUUUUAACGUCUUCGGACUCCACAAGUGCAAAGGAAGCCUUACCACGCUAACCCACACUUCCUUGGCAUGCGCACCUUUUCGACAACAGUCUACCUCGAGGGACGACCUAUCCAAGCGCAAAACCAUUUCCUUAAACCUUUUUACACCACUUGGCAAAACAAUCUCUUUAUCACAGCCAUGAUCAUACUCGAACUAUAGAACAACACCCCUUAGCAAGAUAAUCCUUAUCACCCCUUAGAGACCAAUCAUGACCUACACAACUCCUGAACCCAAGAAAAUCUGGGGUUAGGUAUAGAAAAUCUACCCAUCUCCCUACUAGACAACUACUCAAUUUCUCUAUCCGGGUUGAACCUCCUCAUCAAACUGAAUCCAAAUUGUUUCAUUCACCAAAUCGUGCUCUUUAUAACCAAGUCUACAAUAAACCCCUUCAAUGGAUACACUGAACUAUCCAUGUUCAAAGACCUUGAGGUAGUUGGGUAUGGAAGCCUCAUUUCCUUUGACGAAACUACUCAGAGAAAGUGAAGUUUGUCGGCCGGGAUAGACCCUAUCCCCUAGGAUACUUGUCACGACCCAAAUUCCGGGCGACCCAAAAUUUGACCCAUGACCCCAGGUCAAAGGUUUGACCCUAAGAGUUCCUCCUAUUCCACGUUGGCAGUCAACCAAAACACUCUGGAUUUUUUUUUUAUAUACAUCUCACUAGAAUUCUCAUAAACCACAAUAUCCCAAAACUACUCAAAACAACAAGAUUAAAUAAAUAUUCAUUAGAGUCCAAAAUAAAAUUUCACAAUUAACACUUAAUCAAAAUAAAGCUUCAUAACAAAUCCAUGAGUCAUAAUUACUAAAACAAAUCCAUGAGUCAUAAUUACUAAAACACAAUAACAGAAAAUGUCACGUUCCACUAGGCCGCUCCAGGAGCAUCCUGAAGUCCUCCCUGCCCCACCUGUGGAUCCUCAAGAGAGAUAUCUGCAUCUAAAAAUGUGUAACAAGGAAGGGGUGAGCAUUUCCACAUUGCUCAGUAGGGUGCCUAACACCCAAGGGGUUAAGGGGAUUACUAAGUUUCAAAGAAUACGAAAAGAACACUUCAACACCAUAGGAACAAUUCAACAAUAUCAAUCAAACCACAUAGUUUAAUAUAUAAUUCUAUACACAAUUUCACAAUAUUCAACAAUUACAGGAAUGCACAUGAACGUGUGACACACAGUCAUACAAUGCACUAUUGUUCUCAGGCUUUCACCGAAUGAUACGCGUCCGCACCCAAAUACACUCCCCAUUCGGAGUUGAUUCGUCCCUAGCAGCGGCAGUGGCAAUGGCACCAUCUGAUUCGGGGUUCGAUCCCCGGCAACGGCGCCAUUUGAUUCGUGCCCAAUUGAUGUCUCAGCUGAUUCGUGUCUAGCUGGUGCUCCUUGAUUGAGGGAUUAAUCAACAAAAUUUAUAACCUAUUACACCAUAUACUAGGGUAGCAAAGACAAAGCUACUAUAGCAUAGUGGCUCUAGGAUCGUUCACUGGGAUGGGUUUUCACUUCACAAAUGAUAUUAAUUCAAAGUUGAAUUGGUGCCUUUUCAUUUCAAGGUUAGCUUUAAAAGAAAACAUAAAAAUGUUUGAAUGAAAAAGGUUUGGUUUUACACUAACCAAAAAUAGUAACUGAUUUUACUUACAAAGAAAAGUGUUUCUUGGAGUUCAGAUCACUAGGCUCAGGUUCCUCAUACAAAAAAGAGAGUUCCGGUCACUUGUUUCUUUUCCUCGCAUUAGAGAAUUAACAUAUAGUUCCUUCUCCAACCGGUGUUGUACAGAUGCUUCCCAUUAAUGGGUUCAAACACUAAAUCCCUCUCACUGAUGCACCUUGCAAUGACUCAUACCUCUCACCUAGCACUUGCCAUUCAAGGUGAUCUUUAACCUUGGAUUACCCGUCAAAAGCUCGCAAGAGAUAACUAAUGGAUGUCUCCUUGGAGUCCAAAAGCUUACCAAGUGUUGGCUAUUCUAGAAAAUCCUACCUUCAAGUCACCUCCCAAAGGCUCGCAAUGGGUAAACUAGUGCAUCUCCAUGGACGGAGAUCACUUGCCUUACCAAGUGUUGGCCCAGGUGAUUUAAAGGCGUUUUAAGUUAACUAAAAAGAUAAAAACCAUUAACGGGUUACACUUUCUCUUCAUUAAAAACUAAAACAACAAAACUUCCAAAUUAUGCAUGUGGAAACUUACCCGGCUUUCCUUACUCCAAGAGACAAAAAGCUUAGCCUCUCAUCCUCUUAGGAAAAAUCCUCAGAGUUUGGUUAGCUAGAAAUAAAAAGAAAUGAAAAAUCAAAGAGAAGGAAAAACAGAGCAAGGCUCUGUAUAUUCUAUAUAUUUAUCGAUAUGGAUUACAUGAUACUCUUACAGUGGAUGCAAGGGAAUAUAUAUAGAGACAUUUUUCCAACCUUCCCAACUAAGAAAUCUUAUGGUUGGUGGAUUACAAGGAGAAGAAUGGAAAUUCAUACAAAAAUAUCUGAAGAAAAAUAUCCCAAAGUGUCGGUCACAAAUAUCGGGGUGCUUCAGGAACCAUUUCGCAAGAGAAAAUGGUGUCUGCGAGAUUUCGCAGGCACUCAAGAAGGGUUGCGAAAUUACUUCGCAUCAACAAGCUGAACUCGCACCGCUGCGAAGUUGGAUUUCAUCUUGUGGUGUUUGGCUUCCAUCGCGACGUGAAACUUCAAGAGGAAUUUCAAAACACUGUACAAAAAGGCUGCGAAAUCAUCUCGCAACAAAAGGGUGAUUUCGCAACACUUUGCAAAUUUCUUCCUUCAGCUUGGAGUGAUUGACUUGCAGUGGCUGUAACUUCUUCGUUUCAACUCCAAAUUGCACACCGUUUGAAGCAUUGGAUUCUUGACUUCCUGAGCUUUGAAAUGGUAUAUAGAAUGUACAAAAUUGACUUCGGGAAGUGCUCCAAAAGUGCACAAGAAAACUGCAGCUGUUGUCCUAUGUUUUCUUCACUCUGUUUUUCCUCUCUCCUUGCUUCUCUCCUUGCAUACUUUGAACGACUUUGGCAAAGGGCUAUGGAGCUCCAAAGCUUGGUUCUUCAUUAAUUUGAGCUCUUCAUUGCUUUGCCAUGGAUUCCAAAUAACUCUCCUCAAUCCUGGAUUGUUUUGGUGAUCAAAUUACUAACAAAAACACCAAAACUUACACAAUUUGAUUAGAAAUGAUUGCAAGGGUCCUUAACAUGUUAAUUGGGUUAAAAGGCAAUAACUACUACUCAAAAGUGUUUAAAAGAGUUAAUUACAAGCUAUCAAAUAGCACUUUUUGAGUAGUAAUCAGUCUUCCUGGGGUAACUUUUGGGUCUUUCACCCUAGGGAUCUCUCUCCCUUCUUAAUUCGUCCCACACGACUUUCACUUCUCAUCACUAUUUCUUUUUUUUUUUUUUUUCCAUUUCAUACACUUUUCACAAUCUUCAUAAUUUUAUUUAUUUUCCACAUAACCAUGAUGCAAAUGAAUGCCACAAUUCCAAGGUUCCUCAAUAAUUCAACAAUUUCAACAUUCCCCAAUAAUCCAAUAAAAUAAUUUCACACAUUAAAAUUUCUGAUAAUAUCCCAAAUAAAUAUUCAAAAAUUUGCAUAUCAAAAAUCUUGAAAUUUUACCAUACUUACGGAAUUUUUCAACCAUUAUAAUAAUUUCUAAUAUUCGAAAUUAACUAACUUUCUAUCAUAAAAAUUCCAAAAAUUUUCUAACUAAUGCCUAAAAAUUCACCAAUUACUAUUUUUGAAAUUUAGCCCUAAUUUUGGAAUUUUUCAACCCUUCAAAUAAUUUUUUUACAAUUCAAAACAAUUAAUUAUCAAUCAAAAUCAAUUUCCCGCAAUUACAAAAAUUCCAAACAAAUUCCAAAUAUUCUAGAAAAAUUCAUACAAUCCCCAUAAUUCCUAAUUAACUCAUAAUGACAAUAUUUACAAUUUUUUUCAAGGGAAAAACAUAAAAAUUUAAGUUUUAAGGUUAGGGUCCCCUACCAAAGAUCUAAGAAUUCAGCUGCUAAAAAUACAAUUGGCCACUGUAUGAUUGUUCCCCUCGUCGAGUAGAACACACCCUCCAAAUCUGAGUUGAAACGGAGGUCGUUUGACCACCCAAACGACCGGUCAAAGCUCCGGCGAGGUGAGAUUUUCUAUAGUGCCGCUGCCCCUUUUCUCCCAGAUCUGCUACUGUUCCCUUCUUUUCCACUUAAGCCCAUUUCUUUUCAUUUUAAUCCACUUACCAAACAGCCCACUCAAGCCCAACCCAAGUUCAAAAUAAACCCAAUAACUAACUCCCAUUUUUCUUUUAAAACCCUAUUUCAUCCAAGCCCAAAUUACUCCAUUUUCAUUUUUUUUUUUCUUUUCUCUUUAUUUUUAUAAAACACACAAUUUAAUAUUUUUCUCAAUUUUUUAUUAAUAAGGAAUUUAAUUUAAUUAACUAUUAUUUUUUUUCUAAUUAAUUUUAAUUAAUUAACUUUUCAUUUUUGUUUUCGUUUUUUUUUCUUUUCCGGAAAUUCCCAAUUACUAAAAUCCUAAGAAAUUUCCACCCUAAGGCUGACAUGGCAUAAAAUUUUCAACUCACCUAAUUGACCAACACAAUAAACUGAAUUUCACCAAUCCAAAACUAACACCUGUUCUUCAGGCACUUUUCUUUUUGACUUUUCAACCAUCAUUUAAAAUAAGACUUUUCAAACUAAAAAUGCUAACGUGACAUAAAAUACCCGGUCAUUACAUCCUACCCCCCUAAAAGAAAUUUCGUCCCGAAAUUUAAACUAGCUUACCUUAAAAUUCAUAGAAGAGUUGCGAAUAGUGUCGUCUCAUUUCUUCCUCAGGUUCCCAAGUGGCUUCUUCUAUCCCAUGGUGUUGCCACCACACUUUGACUGCAGGAAUCACCUUGUUCCUAAACCUAUGCUCUCCAACUUCCAGAAUUCGUAAAGGUUCCUCCACAUAAGAAGUAUUUUCACUAAUCUGAACAUCUUGCAAAUCCACUACCCAAGUUGGAUCUGGAGUACACUUCCUUAGCAUUGACACAUGGAAAACAUCAUGCACAAGGGACAACUGUUGAGGCAAAAUUAACUUGUAUGCCACUGUGCCAACUCUCUUAUCAAUCUGAAAUGGUCCCACAAACCUAGGGGCUAACUUCCCCUUCUUCCCAAAUCGAAAUAUGCCUCUUCGAGGGGACACUUUUACAAACACCCAAUCCCCUUCCUCAAACUCCAAGGGUCUUCUCCUUUUGUCUGCAUAACUUUUCUGUCUAUCUUGGGCAGUCUUAAGUUUUUCCUUGAUGAGUUGUAUCUUCUCUGUAGUCUCUUAGACAAUCUCAGGUCCCAACAAACGACUUUCACCCAUCUCUAUCCAACACAAGGGCGACCUACAAGGUCUCCCAUAAAGUGCUUCAUAAGGUGCCAUGCCAAUACUAGAUUGGUAACUGUUGUUAUAAGCAAACUCUACUAAAGGUAAGUAAUCUGCCUAAUUUCCUCCAAAAUCCAAAACACAAGCCCUUAACAUGUUUUCUAAGAUCUGGAUCACUAUUUCUGAUUGACCAUCUGUCUGAGGGUGAAAAGCGGUGCUAAAAUUCAGUUGAGUGCCCAAAGCCCUUUGUAAACUCUGCCAAAAUUGAGAAGUAAACUUAGGGUCCCUGUCAGACACUAUAGAUACAGGUAUCCCAUGCAAUCUCACAAUCUCCUGUAUAUACAACUUAGCCAAAGAGUUCAUGGAAUCAGUAGUUUUCAUGGCUAGAAAAUGAGCUGACUUAGUAAGACGGUCCACAAUCACCCAAACUCCAUUUUUCUUGCUUUUAGUUCUUGGCAACCCUAUCACAAAGUCCAUAGUGAUAUUAUCCCACUUCCACUCAGGUAUAGGUAAAGGUUGCAACAAUCCUGCAGGCCUCUGGUGUUCAGCCUUCACUUGCUGACAAAUCUGACAAUUAGCUACAACCUGAGCAAUAUCUCUCUUCAUCCCACUCCACCAAAACUGUCUCUUUAAGUCUUGAUACAUCUUGGUAUUCCCAGGAUGGAUGGUAUACUUCGCCCUAUGAGCAUUUGCUAGAAGUUCAUUUCUCAACUCCACAUCUUUUGGCACACACAAUCUCCCUUUGAACCUCACACUCCCAUCUUCAUACAUAGACCAAUUUUCAUCUAUUUCACCUGCUACCAACUGGGCUUUAACCUUUUCUAAAAACUCAUCAUGAACUUGGGCCUCCACUAUUCUCUGGAUAACCAUUGGUCUAGCUGAUAUACUGUACAAGCAUGGACCAUGCCCUUCCAAACCAAGACAUAAUUCAAAAUCCUCAAUAACUGCAUGCAUCUCAAACUCUCUCAACUCCAAGCUAGACAACUGGCCAACACUCUUCCUACUCAAGGCAUCUGCUACAACAUUCACCUUUCUUGGAUGAUAAUGAAGAGCAAAAUCAUAAUCUUCCAAUGUCUCCAUCCAUCUCCUUUGCCUAGAGUUCAGAUCCUUUUGAGUGAAAAUAUAUUUCAAACUCUUGUGAUCAGAGUACACCUCAAACUUCUCUCCAUACAAAUAGUGUCUCCAAGUCUUAAGGGCAAACACCACUACUGCAAGCUCCAAAUCAUGUGUUGGAUAAUUCCGCUCAUGCUGCUUUAACUGUCUUGAGGCAUAAGCUACCACCUUGCCUUGCUGCAUUAGCACACACCCUAGCCCCACUGUGGAAGCAUCACAAUAAAUUGUAAACAACUCUCCACUAAUAGGAGCAGUUAACACUAGAGCAGUGGUCAAUUUCCGCUUCAACUCCUGGAAAGCAUUCUCAUACUCCUCAUUCCAAUCAAACUUCACCCCAUUUCUAGUCAACCGAGUCAUUGGUACUGCAAUUCUAGAGAAGUCUUCCACAAACCUCCUAUAAUAUCCAGCCAACCCCAAGAAACUUCUAACCUCAAAUACAUUGGUAGGCCUUUGCCACUCCUAAACAGCUUCCACCUUGGAAUGGUCUACUGCUAUUCCUGCCUCAGAAACCACAUGGCCUAAGAAAUUCACUUCAGUAAGCCAAAACUCACUUUUUUCCAACUUCCCAUACAACUGAUGUCUUCUUAAAGUUUUAAGAGUGGUCACCAAAUGCUGUUUAUGCUCCUCCAAACUCCUAGAGUAAAUCAAAAUGUCAUCCACAAACACAAUCACAAACUGAUCUAAGUAAGCAUGAAAUACUCUGUUCAUUAAAUCCAUGAAAGCAGCGGGGGCAUUAGUUNNNNNNNNNNNNNNNNNNNNNNNNNNNNNNNNNNNNNNNNNNNNNNNNNNNNNNNNNNNNNNNNNNNNNNNNNNNNNNNNNNNNNNNNNNNNNNNNNNNNUUAGUGUGCCAUCCUUCUUCUUCACAAACAACACUGGGGCUCCCCAUGGCGACGUACUCGGACGAAUAAAACCUUUACCCAACAAUUCAUCCAACUGAGUUUUCAAUUCCUUCAACUCAAGAGGGGCCAUCCUAUAAGGGGAUACUGAAAUAGGAUCAGUUCCUGGGAAUACUUCAAUAAAGAAAUCAAAUUCUCUAUGAGGUGGUAAACCUGGAAACUCAUCUGGGAAUACAUCUUGAAACUUUCUCACCACUGGAAUUUCUGCAAUGUCCUUCUAGGCUUUCUCCUUACCACGAAGGUAAGCUAGGAAAUUUAUUGAUCCCUUCCUCAACACAUACUGAUAGCACGGAUUGGAUUGCGAAAAAAGCAAACUAACACACUUUCCUCCAACAAAGCAAACCUCAAAUCCCUCUGGCAGACAAAAUAUUAUCCUGCGGCGAUGACAAUCAAUAAUUGCUCUAUACACUGCCAACCAAUCCAUUCCCAAGAUAACAUCAUACCCAGUCAUAUCUAAAAUCCUCAAAUCCACAUUAAGUGCUAUAUCCACCAAGGUAAUAACGCACCCCUUGCAUAUUCUAUCAACUUUAGAGUUCGUACCCAUAGGGGAUUCAAUAAGUAACAAAUUCUCUACCCUUUCUGAUUUCAACCCUGAUGCAUUAGCACAAGAUAUAGAAAUGAAAGAAUGAGUUGCACCAGUAUCAAACAAAACAUGCACCCAAGUACUAUAUACCAAAAUCAUACCUUCCACCAAGAGAGCGUCCUCCUCUGACUCUGUUGGGGUCAAGGCAAAAACUCUCCCAGCUGUCUGCCUUCCCCUACCUCUAGCAUUCGACCCCUGAGAAGAGCGGGUCUGACUCGUGGUAGCUGUCCUAGUUCCCUGUGCUGCUGGGGGUAAUUGUGGCAUCUGAUAGUAAGGCAACUGAAACUGAGGGGGCUGGAAAGGCACUACUGACUGUUAUUGAGAACUUCCCUGAGACUGAGGUCGAGCCUGCUGUGCACCUUGCACUGGGCAAGCCCUCCAUAAAUGGUCUCCUGCUCCACAACCAUAACAUACUCUAUUAGCAGCUGCCCUCUGAGCAAUCUGCCCCCCUCCUGCAUAGAACGAGGGACGCCUCUCAAACUGCUAAGUCCUCUGCCUCUGCUGUGGCCCUUGGGAACUUUCCCUCAUUCUUUGUUUCCCUUUUCUGUCCCCCUUUUGCUCUCGAAUUUGGUUAGUUUCGUCAAUGUCCUGCUCCACCAACAAAGCCCUCUUAACCAACUCAGAAUAGUCCCUUAUUGCCAAUGGGACUAAUCUAUUCCUAAUAGCAGGCCUCAACCCCUGCUGGAACCUUCUAGCCUUUUCUCCUUCCUCCCCGAUCAUCCCCAAAGCAAAUCUAGACAACUCCGAAAAGCGUGACUCGUACUCCAGCACCGACAUGGUUCCCUGGAUGAGGUGCUCAAACUCCAUCCUCUUGGCAUGCUUAGCCACCUCCCCAAAAUACUUGCCUAGGAAGAUUCUCUCAAAUUCCUCCCAGGUCAUAACCUCAGUGUCAUACACCCUUUUCAUUGAUUCCCACCAGAAAUCAGCUUUAUCAACAAGCAUAUAUGUUGCUAGACCUACCCUUCUUUCCUCAGGUAUGUCCAGUCCCACCAGAAUUCUUCUCAUCCUCCUCAACCAAUGCUCAGUUGCUUCAGCAUUGGGCUCUCCAUUAAAAGAUGGAGGUUGCAUCACCAUGAACCUCUUUAUUGCUUCCAUUUGGCUCAUUACUGGCCUCUCAGUGCGGUUCCUCCUAUGUGAGUGGCCUGAAUCCUCAUGGCCCUGGGUACCUCCUGAUCUCCUGGAACCCUGGCCUCUCAUCAAUUCAACAGUUUCUCUCAACUCUCUUCUUACUUCUCGGAGUUCUUCUCUUACCGUCUCCAACUCCUCAUUCCUCUCUGAUCUUCCUCCUCUGGUCCUUCCCGCCAUUUCAAGUUUAACAAACCCUAAUUCAAUCACAUUACUAAGGUGAGCAAAAAUAAAUUUCACAUAUACACACUUAGCAACUUCAACAAUUAUCAAAACUUUCACUUUCAUACACUCAUAAUACAUAAUUCAAUUAAUCAUCAACUAGUUAAUUAACACAUACAAAAAUCAUAACAUUACAACACACAUAAACACCCAAGGUAUUAUUGCAACCUUGGCUCUGAUACCACGCUGUCACGACCCUAAUUCCGGGCUACCCAAAAUUUGACCCGUGACCCCAGGUCAAAGGUUUGACACUAAGGGUUCCUCCUAUUCCAUGUUGGCAGUCAACCAAAACACUUUGGAUUUUUUUUUUUUUUAUAUAUACAUCCCACUAGAAUUCUCAUAAACCACAAUAUCCCAAAACUACUCAAAACAACAAAAUUAAAUAAAUAUUCAUUAUAGUCCAAAAUAAAAUUUCACAAUUAACACUUAAUCAAAAUAAAGCUUCAUAACAAAUCCAUGAGUCAUAAUUACUAAAACAAAUCCCAAAAUCCAAACAAAAAACACAAUAACAGAAAAUGUCACGCUCCACUAGGCCGCUCUAGGAGCAUCCUGAAGUCCUCCCUGCCCCACCUGUGGAUCCUCAAGAGAGAUAUCUGCAUCUAAAAAUGUGUAACAAGGAAGGGGUGAGCAUUUUCACAUUGCUCAAUAGGGUGCCUAACACCCAAGGGGUUAAGGGGAUUACUAAGUUUCAAAGAAUACGAAAAGAACACUUCAACACCACAGGAACAAUUCAAAAAUAUCAAUCAAACCACAUAGUUUAAUAUAUAAUUUUAUAUACAAUUUCACAAUAUUCAACAAUUACAGGAAUGCACAUGAACGUGUGACACACAGUCAUACAAUGCACUAUUGUUCUCAGGCUUUCACCGAAGGAUACGCGUCCGCACCCAAAUACACUCCCCAUUCGGAGUCUUCCCGGGGUAACUUUUGGGUCUUUCACCCUAGGGAUCUCUCUCCCUUCUUAAUUCGCCCCACACGACUUUCACUUCUCAUCACUAUUUUUUUUUUUUCCAUUUCAUACACUUUUCACAAUCUUCAUAAUUUUAUUUAUUUUCCACAUAACCAUGAUGCAAAUGAAUGCCACAAUUCCAAGGUUCCUCAAUAAUUCAACAAUUUCAACAUUCCCCAAUAAUCCAAUAAAAUAAUUUCACACAUUAAAAUUUCUGAUAAUAUCCCAAAUAAAUAUUCAAAAAUUUGCAUAUCAAAAAUCUUGAAAUUUUACCAUACUUAC
This 11841-nucleotide long non-coding RNA is filed under the name Vitis vinifera (wine grape). RNAcentral's name for it is "long non-coding RNA (VVIN_LNC005256)". The record is from RNAcentral. Lineage: Eukaryota; Viridiplantae; Streptophyta; Magnoliopsida; Vitales; Vitaceae.